This 479-nucleotide ribosomal RNA is filed under the name uncultured bacterium. RNAcentral's name for it is "partial 16S ribosomal RNA". It matches the Rfam family "Bacterial small subunit ribosomal RNA", at positions 28 to 523 of the family's 1533-position model. The record is from RNAcentral.
GACGAACGCUGGCGGCGUGCUUAACACAUGCAAGUCGAACGGUAAGGCCCCUUCGGGGGUACACGAGUGGCGAACGGGUGAGUAACACGUGGGUGAUCUGCCCUGCACUCUGGGAUAAGCCUGGGAAACUGGGUCUAAUACCGGAUAUGAGCUCCUGUCGCAUGGCGGGGGUUGGAAAGGUUACUGGUGCAGGAUGGGCCCGCGGCCUAUCAGCUUGUUGGUGGGGUAAUGGCCUACCAAGGCGACGACGGGUAGCCGGCCUGAGGGGGCGACCGGCCACACUGGGACUGAGACACGGCCCAGACUCCUACGGGGGGCAGCAGUGGGGAAUAUUGCACAAUGGGCGAAAGCCUGAUGCAGCGACGCCGCGUGAGGGAUGACGGCCUUCGGGUUGUAAACCUCUUUCAGCAGGGACGAAGCGAGAGUGACGGUACCUGCAGAAGAAGCACCGGCCAACUACGUGCCAGCCGCCGCGGUAA